Molecule: ribosomal RNA, 440 nt
Filed under: uncultured bacterium
Lineage: Bacteria
Description: bacterial SSU rRNA
Rfam family: Bacterial small subunit ribosomal RNA
Source: RNAcentral
GACGAACGCUGGCGGCGUGCCUAACACAUGCAAGUCGAACGGGGUAAAGACUUCGGUUUUUACUUAGGGGCGAACGGGUGAGUAACGCGUGAGAAACCUGCCUCUCAGUGGGGGACAACAGUUGGAAACGACUGCUAAUACCGCAUAACGUAUCGGGAUCGCAUGAUCCUGAUACCAAAGAUUAUAUCGCUGAAAGAUGGGCUCGCGUACGAUUAGAUAGUUGGUGAGGUAACGGCCCACCAAGCCGACGAUCGGUAGCCGACCUGAGAGGGUGAUCGGCCACAUUGGGACUGAGACACGGCCCAAACUCCUACGGGAGGCAGCAGUGGGGAAUAUUGGGCAAUGGGGGAAACCCUGACCCAGCAACGCCGCGUGAAGGAAGAAGGGCCUUCGGGUUGGUAAACUUCUUUUACCUAGGGACGAAGAACGUGACGGUACCU